This 439-nucleotide ribosomal RNA is filed under the name uncultured bacterium. RNAcentral's name for it is "partial 16S ribosomal RNA". It matches the Rfam family "Bacterial small subunit ribosomal RNA", at positions 338 to 795 of the family's 1533-position model. The record is from RNAcentral.
CCUACGGGGGGCAGCAGUGGGGGAUAUUGCACAAUGGGCGAAAGCCUGAUGCAGCGACGCCGCGUGAGGGAAGACGGUCUUCGGAUUGUAAACCUCUGUCUUUGGGGAAGAAAAUGACGGUACCCAAAGAGGAAGCUCCGGCUAACUACGUGCCAGCAGCCGCGGUAAUACGUAGGGAGCACGCGGUGUCCGGAAUUACUGGGUGUAAAGGGAGCGUAGGCGGGAUGGCAAGUAGCAGGUUAAAUCCAGGGGCUCAACCUGUGGCGGCGUUCUAAACGGCCGUACUUGAGUGAGAUAGAGGAAGGCGGAAUUCCAAGUGUAGCGGUGAAAUGCGGAGAUAUUAGGAGGAACACCAGAGGCGAAGGCGGCCUGCUGGGUUUUAACUGACGCUGAGGCUCGAAAGCGUGGGGAGCAAACAGGAUUAGAUACCCGAGUAGUC